This 954-nucleotide ribosomal RNA is filed under the name Triticum aestivum (bread wheat). RNAcentral describes it as "partial small subunit ribosomal RNA". Lineage: Eukaryota; Viridiplantae; Streptophyta; Magnoliopsida; Poales; Poaceae. The record is from RNAcentral.
AUGCCGCGCACGCUCCCCGCCGGUAAACCUCCGGCGCGAGCAACCCAGCCGCCGGAGCCCGCGACGCCGUCACCCAAGAGCAGGAUGGCCGACGCGCAGCUGCCGGAGCGCAAAAGGAAGGUCGCGCCAUCGGCCGGUCCGCCGAAGAAAAAGAACAAGAAGACCAGAUCGCCGCCGGCCGAGCCCGAGAAGAAACCUCUGCCUCUCCCUCUCCCGUUCGAGCAUGCCCGGACACCCGGCGACGAGGCCCCGGUGCGGGCAACCCAACCGCCGGACCCCGCGAAGAGCAAGCAUCCGCCGUCAGCCAAGAGCAGGGAGGCCGAUGCCCAGCUGCCGGAGCGCAAGAGGAAGACCGCGCCAUCAGCAGAUCCGCCCCAGAAGAAAGACGAGACGACAUCGACGCCGGCGGCCGAGCCCGGGAAGAAGCCUCUCCCGUCCGAGCACGCGUGGACGCCCGGCGACGAGGUCAAGAUACUCGAGGCCCUGGCGGCGCAUCGCCAGGAGAACGGCAAGCUGCCGAGAACCAAGGUGCUCUUCUCCUCCCUCCAGCUGCAAGGCCGCUUCGACAACAAGGGCUUCAGCCUGCCGGACCUCCGGCAGAAGGUGCGCAGUCUCAAGGGCCGGCACGACCACGAGGCCAUCAACGGCGUCCCUGCCAAAGAAAAUGAGUGCAGCCUCUGCCACCUCUCCAAGACCAUCUGGGGCACUAUUGCUACGAGCGGUGGUGAAGCAAGCGCAAAAGUGCCAAACGCGGGCAAGACAUUCGAUGAAAUGCGCCAGUUGUACCCUUGUCUCACAGAUGAGGUGACACACAUUGUGGAUGAACCCGCAGUCUUGGAGAGACUGCUCUUGGACUUUGAUGAUACCAAGGCACGUGCAUUGGACUCCAAAAUCGACAACCUCAGGAAAGAGGUCACCGAGGCUAUCAUGGAAUCGGUAAUACCUUUUAACUGA